AACGCGAAGAACCUUACCUAGGCUUGACAUGCACGGAAAUCCUCCAGAGAUGGGGGGUCCGUAAGGGCCGUGCACAGGUGGUGCAUGGUUGUCGUCAGCUCGUGUCGUGAGAUGUUGGGUUAAGUCCCGCAACGAGCGCAACCCUCGUUCCAUGUUGCCAGCGGGUAAUGCCGGGGACUCAUGGGAGACUGCCGGGGUCAACUCGGAGGAAGGUGGGGAUGACGUCAAAUCAUCAUGCCCCUUAUGUCUAGGGCUGCAAACAUGCUACAAUGGCCGGUACAAAGGGCUGCGAUACCGCGAGGUGGAGCGAAUCCCAAAAAGCCGGUCUCAGUUCGGAUUGGGGUCUGCAACUCGACCCCAUGAAGUUGGAGUCGCUAGUAAUCGUGGAUCAGAAUGCCACGGUGAAUACGUUCCCGGGUCUUGUACACACCG
RNAcentral lists this ribosomal RNA (432 nucleotides) under uncultured Geodermatophilus sp. Its description in RNAcentral is "bacterial SSU rRNA". It matches the Rfam family "Bacterial small subunit ribosomal RNA", at positions 958 to 1392 of the family's 1533-position model. Lineage: Bacteria; Bacillati; Actinomycetota; Actinomycetes; Geodermatophilales; Geodermatophilaceae. The record is from RNAcentral.